Long non-coding RNA from Malus domestica (apple), 309 nucleotides. RefSeq lists it as uncharacterized. The record is from RefSeq and is a predicted model, not a curated record. NCBI's taxonomy places the organism in Eukaryota, Viridiplantae, Streptophyta, Magnoliopsida, Rosales, Rosaceae.
AGUGAGACUGAUAACACUCGUAAGGCAGAUUCCCUUGAUGAAAGAACUCAAGACCAAAGAAGCUGUCCCUGUUCAAAACCAAGCAGCCGCACAAAAGGUUCUUAAAAAAAUGAGUCAUCAAAACCGGGAUGACAUGCAUUCAAGAGGCAGACAGUUUGGGGGAAAGAGGAGGAUUACUUGACUUUAUCAUUUCUUUUAUUCUCAUCACGCUUUACUCUGUUAGAAGGGCACAACAUGGGCUGGGGUUUGAUCUUAACAGGAACAGCUCUACAAUGUUACAAACAACUUCCGUCUGCAGUUUUGUGCGAA